GUAACGCGUAUGCAACCUACCUAUCAGGAGGGGAACUAACCCGGCGAAAGUCGGACUAAUACCGGCAAUAAACAGGGGCACCGCAUGGUGAUAUUUGUUAAAGAAUUCGCUGAUAGAUGGGCAUGCGUUCCAUUAGGUAGUUGGUGAGGUAACGGCUACACCAAGCCGACGAUGGAUAGGGAACUGAGAGGUUGGUCCCCCACACUGGUACUGAGACACGGACCAGACUCCUACGGGAGGCAGCAGUGAGGAAUACUGGUCAAGUGGGCGGGAGCCUGAACCAGCCAAGUCGCGUGAAGGAAGAAGGAUCUAUGGUUCGUAAACUUCUUUUGCAGGGGAAUAAAGUGCAGGACGUGUCCUGUUUUGUAUGUACCCUGAGAAUAAGGAUCGGCUAACUCCGUGCCAGCCGCCGC
This 413-nucleotide ribosomal RNA is filed under the name uncultured bacterium. RNAcentral describes it as "bacterial SSU rRNA". It matches the Rfam family "Bacterial small subunit ribosomal RNA", at positions 110 to 518 of the family's 1533-position model. The record is from RNAcentral.